Molecule: ribosomal RNA, 292 nt
Filed under: uncultured bacterium
Lineage: Bacteria
Description: partial 16S ribosomal RNA
Rfam family: Bacterial small subunit ribosomal RNA
Source: RNAcentral
GUGCCAGCCGCCGCGGUAAUACGGAGGGUGCAAGCGUUAUCCGGAUUCACUGGGUUUAAAGGGUGCGUAGGUGGGCAGUUAAGUCAGUGGUGAAAUCUCCGGGCUCAACCCGGAAACUGCCAUUGAUACUAUCUGUCUUGAAUAUCGUGGAGGUAAGCGGAAUAUGUCAUGUAGCGGUGAAAUGCUUAGAUAUGACAUAGAACACCAAUUGCGAAGGCAGCUUACUACCCGAAUAUUGACACUGAGGCACGAAAGCGUGGGGAUCAAACAGGAUUAGAAACCCUGGUAGUCC